GCAGCUCUGCCUCUUCUUCAUCCUCUAUGUUUGCUCCCACAUCCUUAAGAUCAUCUAGAAUUGUUCGCUCAGCAGCAAGAUGAUCCUUGAGGUCGUCCCCUUCAGCUAUCACCAUGCUUCUGUGGAAAAAUGCGAUGGGAUGUUGAAGGGAUCUGGUAAGUCUGCUUCAUGGCCUCCCACGCUUCAUUUGCACUCUUGCACCGUCUAAUGCAAUGGAAUUCUCGCCCCUCAGCACUGUGUGAAAUUUGCC
This 250-nucleotide long non-coding RNA is filed under the name Selaginella moellendorffii. Its description in RNAcentral is "long non-coding RNA (SMOE_LNC000375)". Lineage: Eukaryota; Viridiplantae; Streptophyta; Lycopodiopsida; Selaginellales; Selaginellaceae. The record is from RNAcentral.